CGCCUAUCUUUCGCCCUCAAUCCCGCGUACAACCGCUUCGUCGCAAGACGAUGGCGCUGAACCUUAGAAUGGACUGCGGGCAGACCCGGGGGCAGUACCCGGCGCCUCCACCUUAGCAGCUUGAGCUUAAAGGUCUCAUUUCAGCAUGAUCCGGAAAAGUGGGUACCGGUUUUCCGAUAGGAUCAUGCCCAAUAUGAGAUCGAUUCUGCCGCAAGGCAAAAUCCCAGGGCUGCUAUGGCGGGGGCGAACCAGGAUCGAUGGUCGCAAAGAAGUUCUGAAUUGUGCUCGGCAUGAUACCGCCGUUAUCGGGUCAAAAACCUAAAUGCAAACGAUAACGUUGCAUUGAACGAAGUGCGCCUCGCGGCGUAACCUGUUCGGGGUUGGUCCACCUGGCAACAGAACGGCCAUGGCC
This 412-nucleotide transfer-messenger RNA is filed under the name Bradyrhizobium sp. OAE829. It matches the Rfam family "Alphaproteobacteria transfer-messenger RNA". From Rfam's summary of the family: Bacterial tmRNA, also known as 10Sa RNA or SsrA, is named for its dual tRNA and mRNA-like properties. Its role is to liberate the mRNA from a stalled ribosome. To accomplish this part of the tmRNA is used as a reading frame that ends in a translation stop signal. Lineage: Bacteria; Pseudomonadati; Pseudomonadota; Alphaproteobacteria; Hyphomicrobiales; Nitrobacteraceae. The record is from RNAcentral.